RNAcentral lists this ribosomal RNA (491 nucleotides) under uncultured bacterium. RNAcentral's name for it is "partial 16S ribosomal RNA". It matches the Rfam family "Bacterial small subunit ribosomal RNA", at positions 29 to 506 of the family's 1533-position model. The record is from RNAcentral.
AGUGAACGCUGGCGGUAGGCCUAACACAUGCAAGUCGAGCGGCAGCACAGUAAGAGCUUGCUCUUACGGGUGGCGAGUGGCGGACGGGUGAGGAAUACAUCGGAAUCUACUUUUUCGUGGGGGAUAACGUAGGGAAACUUACGCUAAUACCGCAUACGACCUACGGGUGAAAGCAGGGGAUCUUCGGACCUUGCGCGAUUGAAUGAGCCGAUGUCGGAUUAGCUAGUUGGCGGGGUAAAGGCCCACCAAGGCGACGAUCCGUAGCUGGUCUGAGAGGAUGAUCAGCCACACUGGAACUGAGACACGGUCCAGACUCCUACGGGAGGCAGCAGUGGGGAAUAUUGGACAAGGGGCGCAAGCCUGAUCCAGCCAUACCGCGUGGGUGAAGAAGGCCUUCGGGUUGUAAAGCCCUUUUGUUGGGAAAGAAAAGCAGCAGGUUAAUACCCCGCUGUUCUGACGGGACCCAAAGAAUAAGCACCGGCUAACUUCGU